CCCUUAGACGUCCUGGGCCGCACGCGUGCUACACUGAUACGUACAACAAGGUAUAUGCAUUCAUGCAUCGAUGCUGCUCCGAAAUAGACACAGCUAAAUCUUCUAAAAUACGUAUCGUGCUGCGGAUAGAUCGUUGAAAUUAUGGAUCUUGAAGGUGGAAUUCCUAGUAAGCGCGGGUCAUCAACCCGCGUUGAUUACGUCCCUGCCCUUUGUACACACCGCCCGUCGCUCCUACCAAUUUCGAGUGGCUCGGUGAACCUCUUUGGACUGUCGAGCAAUCGCGAAAUUAGAGUGAACCUGGUCACUUAGAGGAAGGAGAAGUCGUANCA
RNAcentral lists this ribosomal RNA (329 nucleotides) under uncultured eukaryote. Its description in RNAcentral is "partial 18S ribosomal RNA". It matches the Rfam family "Eukaryotic small subunit ribosomal RNA", at positions 1470 to 1796 of the family's 1831-position model. The record is from RNAcentral.